Molecule: long non-coding RNA, 402 nt
Filed under: Ananas comosus (pineapple)
Lineage: Eukaryota; Viridiplantae; Streptophyta; Magnoliopsida; Poales; Bromeliaceae
Description: long non-coding RNA (ACOM_LNC038785)
Source: RNAcentral
AAAAAACUGCCAUGGCUCUCCAAGCAACUCGAAACAUCCAAUACAACAUAAAACAUUCACAAUCAUAUUUAAACAAACUGCCCAGUACUAGUCGUAAAUUCACAAUCAUAUAUAAACAAAUUCAGAGUCAUAUAUAAACAAACUCCCCAGUACCAUUCAUAUAUAUAAAUAAAUUCACAGUCAUAUAUAAACAAAUUCACAAUCAUAUAUACACAAUCUGCCCAGUACAACUCACAAUGUGCACAAUUGCACAUUCACAAUCAUAUAUAAACAAAUUGCCCUGUAUCGGUCACAAUUGCACAAUCAUAUAUAAACAAACUGCACAGCACAAGUAACAAUUGCAAAAUCCUAUAACAUUCAGACAUCAUCUUUUGCGACAGUGGACUCAAUCAUAGAAGUAUA